RNAcentral lists this long non-coding RNA (3979 nucleotides) under Bemisia tabaci. Its description in RNAcentral is "lncRNA ENSASIAIIG004818". Lineage: Eukaryota; Metazoa; Arthropoda; Insecta; Hemiptera; Aleyrodidae. The record is from RNAcentral.
CAAAGCAAAUACGUCAGAUCUGCGAGGGGACUUGACACCAGCAGAGGGCCCCGUUGUUUUCAUCAGUAGGUCUUGGACCAGAUGUUCUCUAGGAAGUGAGGUUCGCGUUCCUUCCACCGCGAUCACUAUUUUUGUAAUAUUAUUCUUGUAAUUCCUACCACAUCGCUACCCCAAUUCGUUUCGUGUGUGUAUAGUUUGUUUAUUUUUGUAGUGCCGUAAUCUAUAAUGGUUCUGAAUGGCGAAGUUUUCUAGUGUGUUUGUGUUUUUUCGUGCCUCAUCGGUUUCUGUGCUGAUAAUUGUGUUGCUUCUAAACUUGGACCGAAAUGAACAUAUCAACGAUAUCUCGGUGGAGUAUCAGUUUGGGGACCGGAAUCACAUCCUGGACCUUCAGCUCAACAAGGAGCUGAUACCGGAGAACUAUUUUGAAAGACACCAGCGAAACGGGUCGAUCGUUGUGACGCGACCUGGGCCCGGAGAGGUAGAGCUUUGCCAUUACCAUGGAGUCGUCCGAGAUAUACCCGAAUCCUGGGUCGCCCUCUCAACGUGCGACGGACUUCGAGGUGUCAUUUUCGAUGGGAAAAAUAUGUUAUUUGUUGAAAAAGACAAGAACACAACAAGUCUCUCUGACAAACAUAUCGUCUUUGCUCACUCUGAUCUCAUAUCUAAUCACACUUGCGGUAAGUUACAAAUUUUUGCUCUCUGCCUUUUUCAGUCGAAACGUGAUACAGGCAGAUCAAUACGGGGACCUUACAACAUCGACUCCAACUCUCGCUUCAUUGAGCUUGUUUUGGUGGUUGACAACAAAGAAUACAUCACUUUAGACAAAAGUAUUGCGAAAACCAAUCAACACUGCAAAGAUAUCGCUAACAUAAUCAAUUCAUUGUUCAUGCCUCUAAACAUAUUUGUUGCCUUAACGGGAGUGGUUAUCUGGACAGAAAACGAUGAAAUCACACUUUCCACAAAAGGAGAUACAACUCUUCAAAACUUUCUUAUCUACCGCCGUGAACAUCUGACCAAGGAGCAUCCAAACGAUAAUGCUCAAUUGCUCACGAAAAUACAGUUUGAAGGCGGUGUUGUCGGUAAAGCCCUCAAAGGACCUAUCUGCACUUACGAAUUCAGUGGAGGCGUGAACAUGGAUCAUAGCAACGUUGUCGGACUGGUCGCCAACACGGUUGCGCAUGAAAUGGGUCACAAUUUAGGCAUGGAACACGACACAGACGACUGUGAAUGUCCAAGUGAUCGGUGUAUCAUGUCACCGUCAUCCAGUUCCAUGACCCCAACUGAUUGGAGUUCCUGCAGCAAAGACUAUCUUGCUGUUGCUUUUGGACAUGGAAUGGAUUAUUGCUUGCGGAACAAACCUGAAAAACUAUUUGACGGUGCAGUUUGUGGCAACGGGUUUGUUGAGCCGGGUGAAGAAUGUGACUGUGGUUUGAAAGAGCGGUGUGACAAUCCAUGCUGUGAUUACGCCACGUGUAAAUUGCACAGCAAUGCAACUUGUGCCACUGGCUUAUGUUGCAAUUUGAAGACUUGCCAAGUCCACAGUGCUGGGAAAAUGUGCCGUGAAUCAAAUCAUGAGUGUGAUCUUCCCGAAUUUUGCGACGGACAAUCAGAAUACUGCCCCGACAAUGUGUUCAAAAUGAAUGGCCUUAAUUGCGAUAGAGGAGAGGCGUACUGUUUUGAUGGCACUUGCCGCACUCGCUCUGAUCAGUGUCGCUCACUAUGGGGUCCAUCUGGCAACCAGUCUGAUCCAAAAUGCUUUGAUAUGAACAUGCGAGGAACAAAACAUGGAAACUGUGGUUAUAAUCUCCAAAAUAAAACUUUCGUUGCUUGUAGUCAAGAGAAUAUCGAGUGUGGAAUGCUGCACUGUCAGCAUCUGAACGAGAGGCUUGAAUUCGGAAUGGAAUCUGUUGCCAUCCUAUCUCAUUCGUACUUCAAUAAUGAGGGAAUUAUCAUCCCUUGUCGCUCAGCAAUUGUGGACUUGGGUUUAACGGAGGUUGACCCAGGAUUAGCGCCAAAUGGAGCCAAGUGUGGCAGUGGCAAAACAGAAAAGAUGUGUGUUCAUCAAAGAUGUGUUCCUGUAGCAGACGUUCUGGCCGCAACUCCGGAUAUUUGCCGUGAAGGCUGUAACGGCCAAGGUGUUUGCAAUAACAAAGGUCAUUGCCAUUGCAACGACGGCUUUGCCCCUCCAUUCUGCGACUAUCCUGGUCUCGGCGGUAGUGUUGAUAGUGGACCAGCCUCAGAUCCCAAUGCAUGGCAUGCUCUCCGGACAUUCAUCUACUUUGUUUUCUUCCUUCUGCUCCCAUUGGCAUCAGUUGUCAUGCUCUUCAUGUAUUACGUCCGUAAUCGGCAAUGCUGGGCCAAAAAACCUCACAUCGUCUCAUCCGCAAACUCUGUGGAGAAAAAGCCGCGCUUGUCACCAGAUAGGAGUCGCGCAAACCAUGAACCCAACUUUGGUCAGUCACUGCUCAACCAAAAUAACCUCCAGUCAGCCUCAAACAAUCCGAUCGUGGCUUCGCUACAAAAUAAUCUCAUCGGUCAUUUGAAAGGGUUCAAAAUCACACCGUUGCAAGUAAAAAAGUGUGAGUCAUCUGUCACGCUCGUCCCGACACGCCCGGCACCCCAGCCUUACAAAACUUCCAUCUCUGGUGUUAGUUCAGAGGUCGUAAACUCUUACAAGCCGCCCACAAACCCAAUCCGAGCUAGUGAGCCUCCAGCACUUCCACCUGCAAAUGCGACACAAAAUGAAGCAAAGCCGCUCAUCAGCUCUCCAGUUCUAGAUUCCACAACAGCAUGUAAUGUUAAAGAACUUGUCUCUUCGGCCCCAACUCGGCCAGCUCCUAGCCUUCCUCCAGCCAACCUCUCGGGCGAAGAUUUCAAUCGAUCGAAAUCCCAAAAUUCCACCCUGACGCGCAUUGCAUCAUUCAUUUCGCGCAGUCAAAAGCCUGAUGUUCCGGCAAAACCAAAGCUGGAUCGCGACACGUUGCGCAGCAUCGAAAUCUCCGACCCCAUCCCGCAAACAAACAUCGAGUUGCCGAUGAAGUCGCUUACAAUAGUUGCGGACAAGCCGAGCAUUCACCGUGCGCAUAGCUUCCGUCAAAACACAGAUGCCAAGAAGCGACCUCAGAUCCAAUCCUUCGGAUCAAUGCGAGUGCCCAAUAAUAGGCGGCCGCAGAGUAUUCCAGCCUGCACACGACCCACGUCUCCACCACCUCGACCUCCGCCACCAAUCCAGGAGUUUGCCUCAGUCUCUAACCCGGCUGACAAUAUUUAUGCAGUAAUUGAAGAGUCACCGACCGACCGGCGGGAACGCAAAGAAAUUAUUUUACCAACCAAAAAGAAUUUCAGUGGUGAUGGUUCAACAGAAAGCUCAGCAACUGAGUCUAUGGGGCUCUUAGAUGAAAUCGUCUCGGAAAUGGAAGCUCGCAAUACUGAAUCAAUCUAUUCCACUGGAACGUGGAAGAAGUAUCGUGAUGUCGAUAGCAUAUCAUCUGUGACAAAUUUCUCUAGUGUCUCAAAUGAUGUGGAUCAGCUGUACGCAAAUAUACCUCCUAAAAGUGAAGAAAUUUACUCUAAUUUACCAAAAUCCUCCAACAGCUCUACAACUAGCUCAGGAUACUUAAGUCCUAUUACCGCCAAAAAUAAAUUCGGUCUAAAACGACCGCCAGAUGACGAGGCGAAGCAAAUUAAAAUGCCAACAAUCACUGCUCCCAGUUAUAAGCCAUUAAGCCAGCUGCACCGAGAUAAUGCUCUGUCAGCCGCGUUGGGUGCUGAUUUCUCGGCUGUGCACAAUAGUACAAAGUUUCCUGUCGAUGCAAGUAAAAACUCGUCGAAAGCUACACCUAGUGUGACCCUGACGCCCAAAGAGGUAGGGGCUAAACCAGUGCUUCCAAGUAAUUUUACAGUAGUUAAUAGUCUCUCUAAAAUUAGUUCUAAUUCUAGUCACCCACUUAGUGAUAAGCCAGCGCAGCGGCCAAACUAA